This 515-nucleotide long non-coding RNA is filed under the name Nicotiana benthamiana. Its description in RNAcentral is "long non-coding RNA (NBEN_LNC004685)". The record is from RNAcentral. Lineage: Eukaryota; Viridiplantae; Streptophyta; Magnoliopsida; Solanales; Solanaceae.
GAUUUACAAAUUAGAGGGUAAAAAAUCAGAUUUUCAUUUAAUAGCACAUUUAUUGUUUCUACAGAAUCAGUGUCUAUUUCCAGCGAAACUAGGCUUUUUAGUUCUGCUAUUUGUAGUCCCUGAAUAAGGGCUUGAAUUUCUGCCCUUUUGUUUGUUGUCUGAGGUAUGUUGUCCAUGUAGCCCAAUAUAGUCUCUAUUGUGGUUUCUGGAUAUUCCCCCUUAUCCUCCUAUUCUUGGGUUUCAUUUUGUUGCUCCAACUAUGUUCAGGUUAAAGGAGCCUCUGGAUGGGGGUACCCAUUUUAGCAUAAUCUGAUGUGUUACAAUUGUUUGGUUGUUAUUUGUGGGCAUAUGGUGCUCUGUUGCCUUUGAGAUAGUGUUGUUUGCAUUAAUGUGUUCUUUUUUGUUAUUGAAAACAUUGUUGUUUCUUACCAACCAAAUGUGUCAAAGGCAGAAGCGUAUGAAGUUGUCCCAACAGAGGCCAUUAUUGUACUUCACAGCUUUGAGAGUGUGCCAAG